Long non-coding RNA from Gasterosteus aculeatus aculeatus (three-spined stickleback), 358 nucleotides. NCBI's taxonomy places the organism in Eukaryota, Metazoa, Chordata, Actinopteri, Perciformes, Gasterosteidae. The record is from Ensembl.
CAGAGACUUCCUGAAACCAUUUUUUUUUUCUCCAGUUUUUUCCCCCCCGAAUUAAAAAGGCUCCUCUGGCGUCGUGCUGGAUGUAUGCAGGCCAACAAGGGUUAGGGAGAGAUUUGGACGUGUCCCCGUGCGCGUGUCCACUUAGGAGACACAUUUGUGCGUGCUACUGCCUGCGUGCAUUUUUAUAGAUGACCAAAAAGAGUGAUGUUCAAAGACCUUCAAGUAGGAUGCCAAGUGCCAACCGCUGUGCCGGACUGUUUGCUUUGCUUCUCCCUCUGCAGCCGUAAAAAUGAAGGGAAAUAAUCAGGAGAUAACCCACCACGCCACGCAUUCCUUCUCCUUUGUUCACUUUUAUCCC